UACAUAGGGUGCAAGCGUUAAUCGGAAUUACUGGGCGUAAAGCGUGCGUAGACGGUUAUGUAAGUCGGGUGUGAAAGCCCCGGGCUCAACCUGGGAAUGCCAUUCGAGACUGCAUAGCUAGGGUGCGGAAGAGGGAAGCGGAAUUUCAGGUGUAGCGGUGAAAUGCGUAGAGAUCUGAAGGAACACCGGUGGCGAAGGCGGCUUCCUGGUCCAGCACUGACGUUCAUGCACGAAAGCGUGGGGAGCAAACAGG
RNAcentral lists this ribosomal RNA (253 nucleotides) under uncultured bacterium. Its description in RNAcentral is "partial 16S ribosomal RNA". It matches the Rfam family "Bacterial small subunit ribosomal RNA", at positions 524 to 776 of the family's 1533-position model. The record is from RNAcentral.